Molecule: non-coding RNA, 28 nt
Filed under: Mus musculus (house mouse)
Lineage: Eukaryota; Metazoa; Chordata; Mammalia; Rodentia; Muridae
Source: RNAcentral
ACCUUGUCACACGCCUCGAGGAAGGCUU